Molecule: ribosomal RNA, 451 nt
Filed under: uncultured bacterium
Lineage: Bacteria
Description: bacterial SSU rRNA
Rfam family: Bacterial small subunit ribosomal RNA
Source: RNAcentral
GUGGGGAAUAUUGGACAAUGGGGGGAACCCUGAUCCAGCCAUGCCGCGUGUGUGAAGAAGGCCUUUUGGUUGUAAAGCACUUUAAGCGAGGAGGAGGCUACCGAGAUUAAUACUCUUGGAUAGUGGACGUUACUCGCAGAAUAAGCACCGGCUAACUCUGUGCCAGCAGCCGCGGUAAUACAGAGGGUGCAAGCGUUAAUCGGAUUUACUGGGCGUAAAGCGCGCGUAGGUGGCCAAUUAAGUCAAAUGUGAAAUCCCCGAGCUUAACUUGGGGAUUGCAUUCGAUACUGGUUGGCUAGAGUAUGGGAGAGGAUGGUAGAAUUCCAGGUGUAGCGGUGAAAUGCGUAGAGAUCUGGAGGAAUACCGAUGGCGAAGGCAGCCAUCUGGCCUAAUACUGACACUGAGGUGCGAAAGCAUGGGGAGCAAACAGGAUUAGAUACCCCUGUAGUCC